UUAGAAUUUGAUUAAAAUUUGGUUUAGGGUUUAGAAUUUGGUUAGAAUUUGAUUUAAGAUAAGGAUUUGGUUUAGGAUUUAGAAUUUGGUUAGAAUUUGGUUUAGGAUUUAGGGUUUGAUUAGGAUUUGAUUAAAGUUUAGGAUUUGGUUAGGGUUUGAUUUAAGAUUUAGGAUUUGAUUAAGAUUUGUUUUAAGAUUAGGAUUUAGAAUUUGGUUAGGAUUUAUUUAGGAUUUAAAAUUUAGUUAGUUUUUAGUCUAAAGUUUAAAUGAAGUCCAAUAAGAUUUUAACUAGGAUUAAAUUAAGAUUUAAUUGAAAUAUAUUUGAGAUAUAUUUGUCAGUAUUUUAAUAUUUCUUUAAGAUUUCUUAUUAUUUCUUUGUAAUUCUUUUGAAGUUUCUUUGAAUUUGAUUAAAUUUUGCUUAAUAUUAUUAUGAUUUAAUUAGAAUUUAAUUAGUACUCUAUUAGAAUUAGGAUUUUGUUGUUGUAAUUUCCAUUCUACUUUCUAUAGCCAGGUGCCCGGAGCAUUCUCAAGCAAAACUUCACGUAUUAUGACAACGUUCUUUCUUGUCUUCCUUUCAAUUGGCAUAUUUUUCUUAAUGUAAUAUUUUUAUUUUUGUUAACUAUAAACUUUCAUCAUAUAAUACUAAAAUUGCUUUCUAUUUCCAAUCUAACUAUAUAUUUGGCUUUACUUUUGAAUCAGUAUCCAUUUUAUAACUUCUUUGUACAACAUCCAAAACCACUUAUUUGGCAAUUAAUUCCUAACACUCAAUACUAUUGUCGAUCCUCAACAACUGUGUCAAAAUAAAAUUAUUGUUUUACUUAUUCUUCAAAUAUUUUCUCAAAAUAAACUUGUAAAGGAGAGUUCAAAGAUAGAGAAAGAAUAUUUGCAUGAGUUUACACAUUAGGAUCACACAAUUAACUGUCUUCUCAUCUACUAAAAACAUCCAAGAAAGCUACAAUGCCUUUUUCAUUCUAUCAAUUCUUCUUCUCAUAA
RNAcentral lists this long non-coding RNA (993 nucleotides) under Physcomitrium patens. RNAcentral describes it as "long non-coding RNA (PPAT_LNC001568)". Lineage: Eukaryota; Viridiplantae; Streptophyta; Bryopsida; Funariales; Funariaceae. The record is from RNAcentral.